GCAAACUUGGUCAUUUAGAGGAAGUAAAAGUCGUAACAAGGUUUCCGUAGGUGAACCUGCGGAAGGAUCAUUAUCGAAUGAACAUGGAUGGGUUGUUGCUGGCUUUGAGGAGCAAAUGUGCACGCCCAUUCUAUUCAUUUCAAUCACCUUGUGCAUCCUUUGUAGACCCUAAACAGUUCGAGGACAACUCGGUUAGAGAAAGUGCUGCAUUAGUGACAAUUCGGCUUUUCUUGAUGUUUCUGGUCUAUGUUUUUGCCAUAUACUCCUGUAAAACAAUGUAUUGGACAAAAAUGCCUAGGCCUUUUAUAGUGCCUUUGAUAUAUAAAUACAACUUUCAACAACGGAUCUCUUGGCUCUCGCAUCGAUGAAGAACGCAGC
Molecule: unclassified non-coding RNA, 378 nt
Filed under: uncultured fungus
Lineage: Eukaryota; Fungi
Description: partial contains small subunit ribosomal RNA, internal transcribed spacer 1, and 5.8S ribosomal RNA
Rfam family: Eukaryotic small subunit ribosomal RNA (bases 1-73)
Source: RNAcentral